Molecule: ribosomal RNA, 253 nt
Filed under: uncultured bacterium
Lineage: Bacteria
Description: partial 16S ribosomal RNA
Rfam family: Bacterial small subunit ribosomal RNA
Source: RNAcentral
UACGAAGGGGGCUAGCGUUGCUCGGAAUCACUGGGCGUAAAGCGCACGUAGGCGGAUUGCUAAGUCAGGGGUGAAAUCCUGGAGCUCAACUCCAGAACUGCCUUCGAUACUGGGAGUCUCGAGUUCGGGAGAGGUGAGUGGAACUGCGAGUGUAGAGGUGAAAUUCGUAGAUAUUCGCAAGAACACCAGUGGCGAAGGCGGCUCACUGGCCCGAUACUGACGCUGAGGUGCUAAAGCGUGGGGAGCAAACAGG